Lepisosteus oculatus (spotted gar) is the source of this 119-nucleotide ribosomal RNA. NCBI's taxonomy places the organism in Eukaryota, Metazoa, Chordata, Actinopteri, Semionotiformes, Lepisosteidae. The record is from Ensembl.
GCCAGCAGCCAUAUCACACUGCAACUCACAACUGGCAACCCACUGAAGCUAAGCAGGUGUGAGCCUGGUCAGUACCUGGAUGGGAGACCUCCUGGGAAAAACUAAGGUUGCUGCUGGAA